AAACUUUCAACAACGGAUCUCUUGGUUCUCGCAUCGAUGAAGAACGCAGCGAAAUGCGAUAAGUAGUGUGAAUUGCAGAAUUCAGUGAAUCAUCGAAUCUUUGAACGCACAUUGCGCCUCCUGGUAUUCCGGGAGGCAUGCCUGUCCGAGCGUCAUUA
Molecule: ribosomal RNA, 158 nt
Filed under: uncultured Pyronemataceae
Lineage: Eukaryota; Fungi; Ascomycota; Pezizomycetes; Pezizales; Pyronemataceae
Description: 5.8S ribosomal RNA
Rfam family: 5.8S ribosomal RNA
About the family: 5.8S ribosomal RNA (5.8S rRNA) is a component of the large subunit of the eukaryotic ribosome. It is transcribed by RNA polymerase I as part of the 45S precursor that also contains 18S and 28S rRNA. Functionally, it is thought that 5.8S rRNA may be involved in ribosome translocation.
Source: RNAcentral